AAGGGAGACCUAAUUCGGGUAGAAGACGAAAAAAAAGUAGUCCCUACCAAGAAUCAAUCCCAAAAGGUCGGAGCGAGGCAAAAUUGGCUUUCAAACUAGGUUCUGGGUUCACACAAGACCUGAAUCAGGAACAAGGGCUAUUAGCUCAGGUGGUUAGAGCGCACCCCUGAUAAGGGUGAGGUCCCUGGUUCGAGUCCAGGAUGGCCCACCUGUACAGGUGGCAAAAACAAAGAAAAGAAGCGAGGAAUCAGCACCUUAUCUUACUUAUAUAGUAAGAGAGAAUGCUGGCUCUGAGUAAAGAGUCCAGAGGAACCUUGAAAACUGCAUAGAGCUAGGUGAAAAAGCCAAAAAAGAAGACCGCAA
Molecule: transfer RNA, 363 nt
Filed under: uncultured Microcystis sp.
Lineage: Bacteria; Bacillati; Cyanobacteriota; Cyanophyceae; Chroococcales; Microcystaceae
Description: partial miscellaneous RNA
Rfam family: tRNA (bases 135-208)
Source: RNAcentral